GGUAUUAUUGGGGGGAAAGAAAGCUGAAUAUUUCGAAAGGCUUCGUUGGGAGUGCCCUCUCAGAUAUGAGGAAGGGUUGAGCAUUUUUGUAGGUCUGCCUGUCCGUUGGGGAUGGAGGUCGACAUAUAUAGGAGUCUCCUUAACAAGAAGUAGUAAUGCUAUUCCUUUACCCUACUUGGUCAUAGCACGGUAGUGGGAGCUGUCAGCUUCACAUGUUUUAACGCUGUCA
Molecule: long non-coding RNA, 229 nt
Filed under: Malus domestica (apple)
Lineage: Eukaryota; Viridiplantae; Streptophyta; Magnoliopsida; Rosales; Rosaceae
Description: long non-coding RNA (MDOM_LNC004768)
Source: RNAcentral